This 466-nucleotide ribosomal RNA is filed under the name uncultured bacterium. Its description in RNAcentral is "partial 16S ribosomal RNA". It matches the Rfam family "Bacterial small subunit ribosomal RNA", at positions 29 to 507 of the family's 1533-position model. The record is from RNAcentral.
AUGCACGCUGGCGGCGUGCUUAACACAUGCAAGUCGAACGGAAAGGCCCAAGCUUGCUUGGGUACUCGAGUGGCGAACGGGUGAGUAACACGUGGGUGAUCUGUCCUGCACUUCGGGAUAAGCCUGGGAAACUGGGUCUAAUACCGGAUAGGACCACUUCUUGGAUGUUGUGGUGGAAAGUUUUUUCGGUGUGGGAUGAGCUCGCGGCCUAUCAGCUUGUUGGUGGGGUAAUGGCCUACCAAGGCGUCGACGGGUAGCCGGCCUGAGAGGGUGUACGGCCACAUUGGGACUGAGAUACGGCCCAGACUCCUACGGGAGGCAGCAGUGGGGAAUAUUGCACAAUGGGCGCAAGCCUGAUGCAGCGACGCCGCGUGGGGGAUGACGGCCUUCGGGUUGUAAACUCCUUUCGCUAGGGACGAAGCGUUAUGUGACGGUACCUGGAGAAGAAGCACCGGCUAACUACGUG